This 302-nucleotide ribosomal RNA is filed under the name uncultured bacterium. Its description in RNAcentral is "partial 16S ribosomal RNA". It matches the Rfam family "Bacterial small subunit ribosomal RNA", at positions 508 to 807 of the family's 1533-position model. The record is from RNAcentral.
GCAGUAGCCGCGGGAAAACGUAGGGUGCGAGCGUUAAUCGGAAUUACUGGGCGUAAAGCGUGCGCAGGCGGUUAUAUAAGACAGAUGUGAAAUCCCCGGGCUCAACCUGGGACCUGCAUUUGUGACUGUAUAGCUAGAGUACGGUAGAGGGGGAUGGAAUUCCGCGUGUAGCAGUGAAAUGCGUAGAUAUGCGGAGGAACACCGAUGGCGAAGGCAAUCCCUUGGACCUGUACUGACGCUCAUGCACGAAAGCGUGGGGAGCAAACAGGAUUAGAUACCCCUGUAGUCCCUGUCUCUUAUAC